This 548-nucleotide long non-coding RNA is filed under the name Homo sapiens (human). Its description in RNAcentral is "non-protein coding lnc-DNAH12-2:1". Lineage: Eukaryota; Metazoa; Chordata; Mammalia; Primates; Hominidae. The record is from RNAcentral.
CGGCCGCCGCGUGACGUGGCACAGCCAGAGCCUAAAGGCUAGAGCCGGAGCUGCCGCGCCAGUCGCCUAGCAGGUCCUCUACCGGCUUAUUCCUGUGCCGGAUCUUCAUCGGCACAGGGGCCACUGAGACGUUUCUGCCUCCCUCUUUCUUCCUCCGCUCUUUCUCUUCCCUCUCGUUUAGUUUGCCUGGGAGCUUGAAAGGAGAAAGCACGGGGUCGCCCCAAACCCCUUCUGCUUCUGCCCAUCACAAGUGCCACUACCGCCAUGGGCCUCACUAUCUCCUCCCUCUUCUCCCGACUAUUUGGCAAGAAGCAGAUGCGCAUUUUGAUGGUUGGAUUGGAUGCUGCUGGCAAGACAACCAUUCUGUAUAAACUGAAGUUAGGGGAGAUAGUCACCACCAUUCCUACCAUUGGUUUUAUUUUCUUAAUGACGCUGCACAGCGGUCAUUUUUGUUUUUCUUUGUAGGUUUUAAUGUGGAAACAGUAGAAUAUAAGAACAUUUGUUUCACAGUAUGGGAUGUUGGUGGUCAAGAUAGAAUUAGGCCUCUC